RNAcentral lists this ribosomal RNA (205 nucleotides) under uncultured bacterium. RNAcentral describes it as "partial 16S ribosomal RNA". It matches the Rfam family "Bacterial small subunit ribosomal RNA", at positions 568 to 774 of the family's 1533-position model. The record is from RNAcentral.
CGCGUAGGCGGUUGAUGCAGUCAGAUGUGAAAUCCCCGGGCUUAACCUGGGAACUGCAUUUGUGACUGUAUAGCUAGAGUACGGCAGAGGGGGAUGGAAUUCCGCGUGUAGCAGUGAAAUGCGUAGAUAUGCGGAGGAACACCGAUGGCGAAGGCAAUCCCCUGGGCCUGUACUGACGCUCAUGCACGAAAGCUGGGAGCAAACA